AACAUCUGUUAACCAGGUGACCAAUAACAUCUGCUAACCAGGUGACCAAUAACAUCUGCUAACCAGGUGACCAAUAACAUCUGCUAACCAGGUGACCAAUAACAUCUGCUAACCAGGUGACCAAUAACAUCUGUUAUUAACUGUUACCGUAAUGUGUAUGUAUACACACACACACACACACACACACACACACACACACACACACACACACACACACACACACACACACACACACACACACACACACACACACACUACAGCGCAGAUGGCUUGACCGAGGAUUUUUGUUUGCAGGGUUAAACUAAAGCGUCAGGAUUGUAGUUCAGUAAGCGGUGUUUAUAGCGGAGAACUCUUGGGAUAAGGCAGAAAGCCUUGUUGAUUAAAGAGUAGGUCAUAUAAACCCAACCACAUGUAAACAUAUUCAUUUGCAUUAGAAUACGCGUCAAGAGUCCCAAUGCAAAGUUAGCCUGAUAGUUGCUGUCGAGGAAUCGGAAAGUGAGGUGUCAGGGAUGAGAAAAUGAGAAAACACACACUUGCAACUCGUUCUAGCUAAUAGAAUGAAAUAUCCUUAUAGCUUUAAAAGGGGAACGGAUGAACAGCAUCGUUCCUGUCCUCGGGCAAAGACAAGACUUUCCCAACUCCAACCUGAUCCCGGAGUACCUGCUAUUAUCAGGGUAUUGCAUGCCUAGAUGUCAAAGACUAUAAAAAUACAAUCUUUUAUUUUGGGUUUCCAAAUGGAGGUAAGGAAUCAUCGCUUCCUACCUUCACCUUUAUUGGGGUGAUGAACCCAUUCGUCAUCUCCCUCUUUCAUCUCCGCUCCUUCGACCAACGCGCUCAAUAAAAACACCGCCACGCAAGGAAACCAAAUCAUUCUGACUAAAUGUUGUUGUCUAGUAAUGAAUACAACAGCACGAUGUCUACAGUACGUCAGACCGUUAGAUUCACUUCUUCUACGUGGUCGCCGUCAACAUGCUACUGGUGUACAUGCUUCACUUACGCCUUGUGCAGCGCUACAUACCACAGCUGGGUCGUUCUGAACCAAUCACAGGCAGAGAAGUGAACCCCACUCGACCAAUCAGGGAAGGAGACGAGAGGGGAUCGAAGCCCUUAUGUUCUGGUGUUCUGGUUACUUUACGCACAUUAUCUAGGAUCAGUUCGCGUCCCCAAAUGUUUGUGGCGUAAUCGCGUAGAACAGCCAACAGAGGACGCCAUUCUCUUAUUUUUACACAGCGUCAUCUAUUUUAUUUUACCGCCAGACCGACCAUACAUUAUACAGUAUGUACCCCAUCCUCCCGGUUACACCUCUCCAGGAAGAAUACUGGACAAAUAUCCUACCCAAUGCCCUUCCUCAAAUCAAAGUUUAUUGGUAAAUGUACACAGAUCUGAAGAUUUGAUUGCAGGUGCAGCGAAAUGCUUGUUUUUCUAGCUCCAACAGUGCAGUAAUAAUACCUAGCAAUACAAAACAACACCCAUAUAACCCCCCAAAAAAAAAAAAAGUGAAAAGAAAGAAAUGAAGACAUAUCAGAACCAAUAAUUCAGAUAUUCCAUGUGUUUAUAGGGUGUAAUCUGAUGCUAGGUCUGUGGGUGAAGGGCUACAUCAACCCUCAAGCCUCUUUCUAUCCAUCCCUCCAUCGCUGCAACAAUACUUCAUCACUCAUCAUUCCACCUCUCCAUCCAUAUGUGUUCAUUCACUCACUCACCCACCC
Oncorhynchus tshawytscha (Chinook salmon) is the source of this 1706-nucleotide long non-coding RNA. NCBI's taxonomy places the organism in Eukaryota, Metazoa, Chordata, Actinopteri, Salmoniformes, Salmonidae. The record is from Ensembl.